CGGAGGAUCCAAGCGUUAUCCGGAAUCAUUGGGUUUAAAGGGUCCGUAGGCGGUUUAGCAAGUCAGUGGUGAAAGCCCAUCGCUCAACGGUGGAACGGCCAUUGAUACUGCUAGACUUGAAUUAUUAGGAAGUAACUAGAAUAUGUAGUGUAGCGGUGAAAUGCUUAGAGAUUACAUGGAAUACCAAUUGCGAAGGCAGGUUACUACUAAUUGAUUGACGCUGAUGGACGAAAGCGUGGGUAGCGAACAGGAUUAGAUACCCUGGUAGUCCACGCCGUAAACGAUGGAUACUAGCUGUUGGGAGCGAUCUCAGUGGCUAAGCGAAAGUGAUAAGUAUCCCACCUGGGGAGUACGUUCGCAAGAAUG
This 366-nucleotide ribosomal RNA is filed under the name uncultured organism. RNAcentral describes it as "bacterial SSU rRNA". It matches the Rfam family "Bacterial small subunit ribosomal RNA", at positions 526 to 896 of the family's 1533-position model. The record is from RNAcentral.